GAUGAACGCUGGCGAGAUGCUUUACACAUGCAAGUCAUACGAGAGUUUUUAACUCAAGUGGCGGACGGGUGAGUAACACGUAAGAAUUUACCUUUAGGAGGGGGAUAACAACGAGAAAUUGUUGCUAAUACCCCAUAUGCUUUCGAGUGAAAUGGAUUUUUCCGCCUAGAGAGAAGCUUGCGCCUGAUUAGCUUGUGUAAGGUAAUGGCUUACCAAGGCGACGAUCAGUAUCUGGUUUGAGAGGAUGAUCAGACACACUGGAACUGAGACACGGUCCAGACUCCUACGGGAGGCAGCAGUGGGAAUUUUCCGCAAUGGGCGAAAGCCUGACGGAGCAAGACCGCGUGGGGAGGAAGGUUUUUGGAUCGUAAACCCCUUUGUCAAGGAAGAAGCUCUGACGGUACUUGACGAAUAAGCCUCGGCUAACUCCGUGCCAG
Molecule: ribosomal RNA, 437 nt
Filed under: uncultured bacterium
Lineage: Bacteria
Description: bacterial SSU rRNA
Rfam family: Bacterial small subunit ribosomal RNA
Source: RNAcentral